AGGACGAACGCUGGCGGCGUGCUUAACACAUGCAAGUCGAACGGUAAGGCCCCUUCGGGGGUACACGAGUGGCGAACGGGUGAGUAACACGUGGGUAAUCUGCCCUGCACUUCGGGAUAAGCCUGGGAAACUGGGUCUAAUACCGGAUAUGAACUCCUGCCGCAUGGUGGGGGUUGGAAAGUUUUUCGGUGCAGGAUGAGCCCGCGGCCUAUCAGCUUGUGGUGGGUAAUGGCCUACCAAGGCGACGACGGGUAGCCGGCCUGAGAGGGUGAGUCGGCCACGACCGUGGGACCUGAGACGACCGGCCCAGACCGUCCGACGGGAGCGAGCGAGGUGGGAAUAGUGGCUACGAGUGGGACGAAA
RNAcentral lists this ribosomal RNA (363 nucleotides) under uncultured soil bacterium. RNAcentral's name for it is "bacterial SSU rRNA". It matches the Rfam family "Bacterial small subunit ribosomal RNA", at positions 26 to 380 of the family's 1533-position model. The record is from RNAcentral.